GACGAACGCUGGCGGCGUGCCUAAUACAUGCAAGUCGAACGCAGUGGGGACGGGUGAGUAACACGUGGGUAACCUCCCAUCAGAGGGGAUAACACUUGGAUACAGGUGCUAAACCGAUACUGAUGGAUGGACCCGCGGUGCAUUAGCUAGUUGGUGAGGUAACGGCUCACCAAGGCCACGAUGCAUAGCCGAGCUGGUGGGGUGAACGGCCACACGGGGGCUGAACCACGGCCCAGACUCCUACGGAAGGCAGCAGUAGGGAAUCGUCGGAAAUGGGCGAAAGUCUGAACGAUCAGCGCCGCGUGAGUGAAGAGGGUUUUCGGAUCGUAAAACUCUGUUGUUAGAGAAGCGGUAUCUAACCAGAAAGCCACGGCUAACUACGUGCCAGCAGCCGCGGUAAUAC
RNAcentral lists this ribosomal RNA (403 nucleotides) under uncultured bacterium. RNAcentral's name for it is "partial 16S ribosomal RNA". It matches the Rfam family "Bacterial small subunit ribosomal RNA", at positions 28 to 526 of the family's 1533-position model. The record is from RNAcentral.